GUAUUUUCUUUCAUGUUCUUUUGAAGUAAAUAUAAUCAGAGAUUUUUAUUUUUUCUAUUGGUUACUCCUCAGCUCCAUGUAUUAGGAGUAAUUCUAUUUAAUUAGUUAGUUUGAAGUGGCACAGCAUUUAGAGGGAAGAAGCAUAUGGUUGGACCCAAAGAAAACAUAACUGAAUACAUUUUUAGAAGAACAGACUUUAAUAAGAUGCUCAUAUUACCUUCUGAGGCCUUAAAGAUCAAAAGUGAUAGCAUAAAAUUCUGAAACACCAUUGGUGCCAGCAUUUUAAAAAGAGUAUGUAUUUGACCCAGAGGCUUGAGAGUCUGGGACAGACAGAGGCAGCAUAAAUAUUUCCUUUAAAAAACAUCUUGCUGAUGAUAGGAGCCUCUAGGGAGAGUUUAGUGAAAGCUUAUUUGCUUCAGUCUUUCCAGUGUCCAUAGGAAAAGAAAUACUUCAACAGAGUUCAUUUGAAAUGGGACAGAAUCAAUCUUUUUUCUUUUUCUUUAAGAAAAAUAACUUUCAGGAAAGGAACUUGCAGGUGUUGCAUACAUGAGCAACACAUACUGCCUGAAUUUUUUAAUCAAUCCCUUGAAAAUAUUCUAUAAAUAAGGGAAUCUAAACACACUGAAAAGGGUUCUUAUCUCAGACUUACAGAUUUUAACCCUUUGUUUGCCUCUGAAAUCUCCAGCCCCUAUCUUGUUUACCUGUUACUGCCAUAUUGUUUUCUUUCAGCAGUACAUGAAAAAAUCUGACAACCAUUUGUCACCUGCAACUAAAUAUCCAGUUCAGAAUACCCUCUGCACUAUCAAUUGCUCCAUAUACAAACUUAUACAUCAUUUACUUUUGGGAGAAUGACAGCAGCAUGGAAAGGGCACUGAAUAAAAAAGCUACAGGUUAAGGGUUGUUAUUUGCCUGGGGGGAUUGCUGACAAAGCACAUGGCAGAGGUUCAAAACAUCGACAAAGAUCCUUCAGCCUUUGUCCCAACAACCCAUCUUUGGAGCUUGCACAAACACUUGCUGAGACCCGAUUGUUCAUUACAAUCAAUACAUGUACAAAAUCUGCUUCUAAAAACAAAGAAACUGCCUAGAAGAAUCAUUACCUGACUGGCCAAGACCUCACUGUGCAACAGUCCAACUAUAAAGUUCCUGAAGUCAUUUAUUCCUCUUCACAGUAGGGCAAAGCUUAAUGGAAAACUCUUCAUAGAUGAAAGCCACCUAUUACACUCAGUUCAACUUUUAGAAUAAACAUAAUUCACAUCUCCUCUCUUUCUGCAGCUGCUACUUCAUAUAACAACCAGUAGCAAGCUACUUAAAAACCUCAAUAACUUGAAUCUAACAGCCACAUCAGUAUUUCUUCUUCUAUUCAUGAAAAUCCACAAACUUAAACCACAACAGCAAAAAAGUUUCUUCUUUCUAACAUCAUUAUUUUAGAAUAUAUGAUUUAUCCAUUUCCCUUGGUUUGAAACAGCAACAUAAAAAUUUCAGUUUGUAGGAGCUGCUGGAGUUUUGUGUGCCAUAAAAAGAAAUUGAAAAGCAAUUUAGCCAACAAAACAACUUCAUUUAAAAUGCCAUAUUGGAAUUUUCAGCUUUGAUCACAUGUUCACUUCUGUGUUUUCUUCUUAAGUGAACAGGGAGACAAACACAGCUUAAUGCCAAAAAGUAAUGGAAAACACAGCAAUAGCAGGGCAGCAAACUCC
This is a long non-coding RNA of Gallus gallus (chicken), 1694 nucleotides long. The record is from Ensembl. NCBI's taxonomy places the organism in Eukaryota, Metazoa, Chordata, Aves, Galliformes, Phasianidae.